CACGUAGGCACCAAGCGUUGUCCGGAUUUAUUGGGCGUAAAGAGCUCGUAGGCGGUUGAGUAAGUCGGGUGUGAAAACUCUGGGCUUAACCCAGAGCCGCCACCCGAUACUGCUCUGACUUGAGUUCGGUAGGGGAGCAGGGAAUUCCUAGUGUAGCGGUGAAAUGCGCAGAUAUUAGGAGGAACACCGGUGGCGAAGGCGGCACUCUGGGCCGGUACUGACGCUGAGGAGCGAAAGCGUGGGGAGCGAACAGG
Molecule: ribosomal RNA, 254 nt
Filed under: uncultured bacterium
Lineage: Bacteria
Description: partial 16S ribosomal RNA
Rfam family: Bacterial small subunit ribosomal RNA
Source: RNAcentral